CGCCCACUGCCAUUUUGUUGGCCACCUGCGGUGAGGUCUGGAAGGGGGAGCAGCGGCGGGGUCCGCGGCCGGCACACGCAGCCUCUGGCCCCGAGUGCCCCUUCCUCUGGGGUAGGGUGAUGGGAGUGGAUGACCUAGUGGGCUUUGGGGGCUGCGACGAGCCCUGAGCUCUCCUGGGGCUGCUGUGGUAACAUGUAAGGUGUAGCAUAGCCCAGCGCUGACUGGACCCAGCGGCACAGGCCGCGGGAGCCCUGCUUGGCUCAGCCCAGGGAAUCUGGGGUAGAUACCCCUUAGUGUCAUGGAAAAAAAAAAAAAAACGAAGGUGACUGGAAAUGUUGUAUUGGAAGCUCUGCAGAGUGCAGCAAGCACUUGGAGAUGGUGCCUGUGUACUGCAUGGGGGGAAGAGGGGUGAACCUGGGGUUAUCAAACAGCCUCCGCAUGGAGCAAUGCAGAAAUGGGGCUGUUCCUGCAAGGCUGAUGGGGCAGUUGCAACUCAAGGAGCGCUAGGUGGUUUGCACAUCCAUGGAGGAGCCAUGGGACUUUGCCAGGACUGGAGCACAUGCUGGAGUGUGGGGAAACAUGCAGGCAUCUGCACCUGAACAGACUUGCCUUGCCUGGGGAUGAGGAAGGUGGAAAGCAGAGGACAGAAGCUGAGCACAGAUCCUUAGUAAAGUUGUCAAGGUAAACAUGGGAGAUGUGUUUGGCUAUGGAUGAAGCCCUAACAAUUCUCCAUGAAGGACAGAACCGAGAGAAGGAGACACUGAAGGAACCCCAAAGAGCCAGGAGUCAGUACUGGUAAGAAAACCAUUGGGAGGUAAGAAUCUGGAGAGCACAAGGGUAUUCAGAGCAAUCAAAAAAGGCAGAGAGAGCAAUCACCCCUGAGGAGGUGCUUGAAAAGGGGACAAAAGCCAACAAGAGGGAACUCGGCAAAGCAGAGAGAGACUGUGCACCCUGCUGAUGAAGGUGGGGAAUGCAGAGACCUGCUAGGAGGACAGAUACCCACAGCUUUGUAUUCCUCAAACUGCCCCUCUCUGAC
Molecule: long non-coding RNA, 1036 nt
Filed under: Apteryx rowi (Okarito brown kiwi)
Lineage: Eukaryota; Metazoa; Chordata; Aves; Apterygiformes; Apterygidae
Description: lncRNA (ENSARWG00000009384.1)
Source: RNAcentral